UGUUAUUAUUUGAAUUAGUAUUAAACUGCAUUGAAUAUAGAGUAGAAUCAAUACAGCCCGUAAAUGAUUUAGAAGUCCUAAGUUCAAAACACAUCUGGGUGGAAAUCGAAAAAUUGCAGAAACCCGUCCAGAAAAUAGGAUCUUUUCAUUUCUGAAACCCUCGAACAAGAAGCUGAAAAACCCUGCAUUUGAGAAAGCAUACAAAUUGCAAAAAAAACCAGAACUUUUGUAUUGAAAUUUGAAAAUGUUUGGUCGAAGCAGAUUCCUCUCGUUUCCUAUGGUAAUUGGAGCAGUCGUGAUUGGAGUUGUUUCAGGCAAGGCAAUAUUUGGACCCCCACUUGAUGAGUACUGGAAAAAGAAACAGCAGGAAGAGGCAGCUGCAAAGGAGACUGAUGCAAGCUCAAGUUAACCAAUAUUUACUGAUCUUCUCAUGUUUGAUGACGUCAUAGAGGAGUUUUGCGCAGGGAUGCAGGUCAUUCAUUAAUUCAUUUAUGUGCUAGGAUCAAGGCAACUGCUAACAGCUAGUUUUUUGAAUUCAUGGGAUCCCCGAUAGUUUGUUGAAACAGUCGUAGUUGAAGAAGAAUGACGAUGCAAAAUCCUAAAAGGAAGUCCAAUCUUCUACGAGGCAAAACCAUCCAAAAUAGAUAUUCUCUCGACAUCAUGUGUGGAUUAGGAUCUGGAUAGAAUAUUGGACUUUUCUGUAGUAUAACCUCUCAACGGAAUGGCUGUUCCUUCUCGACUUCUGUUGGUUCUUCCCAAUAAAGCAAGCAAAUUUCCAUGCAGCAGACAACUGAGGCCUAUCUUUUUAGGCU
Molecule: long non-coding RNA, 812 nt
Organism: Prunus dulcis (almond)
Lineage: Eukaryota; Viridiplantae; Streptophyta; Magnoliopsida; Rosales; Rosaceae
Exons: 3
Source: RefSeq, a predicted model, not a curated record